AGCUUCAAAGGGAUUUGAAGGGUGGUGACAGGCUCCAGCCCAGACUGCGCCUCGGAAUGCAGACGCUUCUCUGCCUAGAACCUGGCCCGGCCCUAUGGGAAAGCCCCGGUUCUCGGCGGCACUGAACUGGUAAAAAGCAGUUGCUGUGGGUUCCCUCCCUUUCUCCCCGACUCCCUGGCCAUGGGAUUCAGGAAAACAGGCAGUGAAAGGCUUCAACAGUUCCUUUCCAGUUUUCCACGGGGGCCCCAAGGAACGCCUGCGGCUGGAAUUCCCCGGGAGACAGGGAGCUGUAACAAUAGAGGUUCAUAUUCUAAAGAGAGCAGGCACUGAGCAAAUGUUUGUUGAACUGAACCAAUCUGCUAGUUAUGGGGACAUGACCUCCACUUCAUGGUGUUGAACUAAACAAACACAUACUUCUCCAGACAAAUAUUAAAACUGGUGAACUUCAAAAUAACGUGAAAAGCUCCUAUGUUUCCAUGCCUCAUUAUAUGCCACAAAAAAUCAAAUGAUAACGAGAACAAAGUAGGUUAUUUUGUUUGCUAUUUAACUUGUGUGCAGGUCUUCACAGAAUGAGAGGCAUACCAACACUCAUGACCCCAGGCUAGUUCUGUUCUUUGCCAGUGUGUGGUUUGGGAGUUCUGUGAAGUGUUUGCAGUCGCUACUAAUAAUCCAGGUGACACGGCAAACAUUGCAGUUCCUAGGUCCAGCACAAUUAGAGGAGGGUUCACUCGUAGGCAGCAUCUGAGCAACAGGCUCACCAGACUUCAGCCUCUUCACUCCGACUCUUCCACGCUCCAGCUCUCUUCAUUAAGAUAUUCUAGAAGCAACUGAGGAGUUUCUACAAACAUUUUGGAAAUUACAGUUAAGGUACGAGUUGUUCUGACUGCUGUGCAGACAUUCACACGCCCGCUGCUAGAAAGCUGGAGCUGGAAGGAGCAUUGGGGCCCGCUGAGUCCUCCUUUCUCAUGUAUGGAUGCGGAUGUGGAGGCAGGCCCUAAGUCUUAGUGUAGGUGCCGAUGGUGCAGGUGAGAAGCCCCCUGGUAACUCACUUAGUGCUCUAUCUGCUCUUCCACACUCUCCAACAUGACGUCACCGG
Molecule: long non-coding RNA, 1096 nt
Filed under: Homo sapiens (human)
Lineage: Eukaryota; Metazoa; Chordata; Mammalia; Primates; Hominidae
Description: non-protein coding lnc-SOX17-4:5
Source: RNAcentral